CUACGGGACGCUCCAGUAAGGAAUAUUGCGCAAUGGAGGCAACUCUGACGCAGCCAUGCCGCGUGCAGGAAGAAGGCCUUAUGGGUCGUAGACUGCUUUUAUUUAGGAAUAAACCCCCGAACGUGUUCGGGGCUGAAGGUACUAAACGAAUAAGCACCGGCUAACUCCGUGCCAGCAGCCGCGGUAAUACGGAGGGUGCAAGCGUUAUCCGGAUUUAUUGGGUUUAAAGGGUGCGCAGGCGGGCUAUUAAGUCAGUGGUGAAAUCCCGGGGCUCAACUCCGGAACUGCCAUUGAUACUGAUAGUCUUGAGUUUGGUUGAAGUGGGCGGAAUGUAGCAUGUAGCGGUGAAAUGCAUAGAUAUGCUACAGAACACCAAUCGCGAAGGCAGCUCACUAAGCCAAAACUGACGCUCAUGCACGAAAGCGUGGGGAUCAAACAGGAUUAGAUACCCUGGUAGUC
This 459-nucleotide ribosomal RNA is filed under the name uncultured bacterium. RNAcentral's name for it is "partial 16S ribosomal RNA". It matches the Rfam family "Bacterial small subunit ribosomal RNA", at positions 339 to 795 of the family's 1533-position model. The record is from RNAcentral.